GACGAACGCUGGCGGCGUGCCUAAUACAUGCAAGUCGAACGCUGAAGAGAGGAGCUUGCUCUUCUUGGAUGAGUUGCGCACGGGUGAGUAACGCGUAGGUAACCUGCCUUGUAGCGGGGGAUAACUAUUGGAAACGAUAGCUAAUACCGCAUAACAAUGGAUGACACAUGUCAUUUAUUUGAAAGGGGCAAUUGCUCCACUACAAGAUGGACCUGCGUUGUAUUAGCUAGUAGGUGAGGUAACGGCUCACCUAGGCGACGAUACAUAGCCGACCUGAGAGGGUGAUCGGCCACACUGGGACUGAGACACGGCCCAGACUCCUACGGGAGGCAGCAGUAGGGAAUCUUCGGCAAUGGGGGCAACCCUGACCGAGCAACGCCGCGUGAGUGAAGAAGGUUUUCGGAUCGUAAAGCUCUGUUGUAAGUCAAGAACGAGUGUGAGAGUGGAAAGUUCACACUGUGACGGUAGCUUACCAGAAAGGGACGGCUAACUACGUG
Molecule: ribosomal RNA, 497 nt
Filed under: uncultured bacterium
Lineage: Bacteria
Description: partial 16S ribosomal RNA
Rfam family: Bacterial small subunit ribosomal RNA
Source: RNAcentral